UACGUAGGGGGCGAGCGUUGUCCGGAUUUAUUGGACGUAAAGCGCCCGCAGGCGGUGCGCCAAGUGUGGGGUGACAGCGACCGGCUUAACCGGUCGAGUGUCCUACAGACUGGCGCACUUGAGGGCCACAGAGGAACACAGAAUUCCGGGUGGAGUGGUGAAAUGCGUAGAUAUCCGGAGGAAUACCAAAGGCGAAGGCAGUGUUCUGGGUGGUACCUGACGCUCAGGGGCGAAAGCUAGGGGAGCGAACGGG
This 253-nucleotide ribosomal RNA is filed under the name uncultured bacterium. Its description in RNAcentral is "partial 16S ribosomal RNA". It matches the Rfam family "Bacterial small subunit ribosomal RNA", at positions 524 to 776 of the family's 1533-position model. The record is from RNAcentral.